Poecilia latipinna (sailfin molly) is the source of this 2008-nucleotide long non-coding RNA. RefSeq lists it as uncharacterized. The record is from RefSeq and is a predicted model, not a curated record. Lineage: Eukaryota; Metazoa; Chordata; Actinopteri; Cyprinodontiformes; Poeciliidae. The transcript is spliced from 3 exons.
CGUGUCAGUGAAUGUAUAACGAGGCGAACAUCUUAAAACCUUUCUCCAGCUGACUUGUUGGGGCUUCGGGUCGAUGUAAAAACCUUGGCCAAGCACUGCAAGCACCUAAUGUAAAUGAUAUUUGUAUUGGAUCGGAAACAAUCGAGCCGCUUUACCCCGAACGCGGAAGCUGAGGUGCAAAGAGCCCAUUUGGCUGCUUGAAAAUAUUCUCAUGGAAUGUUUCAAAAUGAGCAGCAUGGCUAUUAGACCAAACUAAUACUUAAUCCAUCCAGUCUUGUUCUAUUGGUGUAGAACAGCCAGAAAGAAUACUUCUGAAACUGUUACUGAAUAUAAAAGGUGUUCAUCAAAAUUGGAGAAAACUUUAGCAUACACCAUGAACGUCUUACAGGAAAGCAAACAAGUUUUAUGCCUUUGAUCUGUAGCCCUCUUCUUUAAAGAAAGAAAAAAAACUUAUGUAACAUGUUUCAUUUGAAAGUGGUACCUUUAAGUGUUUAUUCAGAUAUGUUUGUUAAUUCCCAUAUUUUGUCUGUUCUUGAACUGCUCACUGGAAAGUUUCUCUUUUCUCUUAAUGUGAUUGAAUGAGCAGCUGCCCGUCUCACGAAGUUGACCAAUUGCGACAAACUAAGGCAACGUAAUGUAACCUUAGGGGGAGGGACCUUUAUUAGGCAGGUUGAUGAAAAGAAGUUAAUAUUGAAAAAGAUAUGGGGUGUAAUGGCGGCGCUUCACGGAAGAUUCUUAAAUGAAACAUGGACGCUGUUCCUUUAGCUUGAGCGGAAGCGUUGUGCUCAUAAUGGCCUUAUGUUUCUGCACCGAAUUCUUGAUAGACUUUGAUGGGCUGCCAGGUACCUCUGCACCAGAAGCCUGGUAGACUUCACUCAUUGCAUGAGGUUCAUCUCCAUCCCAUAUGCAGACAACGGACUGAAGAAGCCUGAAACUUCAUUGGUCUGGACAAAAGGGGGUUUGCGUCGGAUCAUCUAUCAUGACUGUGGGUUUCUAAGGUAACUGAGAGCACACAUUAGGAAAACCACACCUAUGAGCUCCAACAAGCGCGCAAAUAAAGUAGUACAAUCAGUUAGUCAUAAAGGACUAAAAAUCCCGGGGCACUGUUGAUUUAUAGUUCUUAUAGGGAAAUCGGAAGUGGCUGAAUCAGUAUCUGCAGGUCAGAGAUUCUGAAGUGACGAUAAAAAAUAUGACCUCAAAACUUAAGAAUAAUUUGUUUUAAAGGAGCUCCACCGCCCAAAGUUAUCCAUUCUCAACCAGCCUCUAAGUUUAUGCACUACAACACGGCCGGCCAUUCACUGACGUGUUUGUUGAUUCUUGCAAGCUUGAAUUCCACCCUCCAUUGAGAGUCUUCCACCAGCAUCUGGGUCCCUGCAUCAUUUGUUGGCAUUACCUCUUGCGUGCGUAUUAAUAAAUGGAAGUCAGCCUGCGUGUGUGUGCCUGUGUGUGUGUGUGUGUGUGUGUUUGCAUUUAUCCAAAGGGUGGGACAGUUAGUGCGGGAAACGGAGACUGCCUGUUCCUGUAGUGAGGUCAGCAUGUUGCCAUGAUCCACUUCCGCUCCCCCAGUAGGACUUCUGGUCCAAACACGGCUGGGACAUACAGAGAAUUUCUUAUUACAGCAACACUGACACUUCAUUCUGUAUGCAUAUGAUGUCAAAUAUAAAUGUGCUAGGGUUAGAAAUGUUCCAGCUGUGCUAUGAUGUGUAGUAAGUAUUUGACUUUACCCAGGGUAAUGCUGUUGUCCGAACAAUCUGAAAUUCUUCUCUUAGCUUCUACUAAGUUCGAAGGAAAUCCUUCUCAUUCACGCCGUUUUAAAGAUGGGAAUGAAUAGCCACUAGUGUUGAUCUACAACCAGAGUAACUGCAUGUGCCUCCAGGGAACGUCAACCAGCCUCUGUUUCAGCUUCCUGGUUGGCAGUGACCAGAGGGUGUCCCAAGUAAACACAACCAUCAUGUGCCAUCAAACCUCUCAGUUACACCCCGUAAUUACAAAUAUAGACUACCGACUG